ACCGUCACCUAGAAGAAUUUUCUGUUCCAACUUGCCCUGGAAUUUGUUUUCCACCAACAAUUAAACACAUGUGUCCAUUAGUAUACGACAAUGCAGGAUGCCCAAUGGCUAAGCUUUGCUGCGUGUUUUCAAUGCGUGUUGAAUUAAAUUCGCCAAACCCAACUGAGUCCACUCCUCUAACGGACUUCCAGUUUACCGUGAAAAACCCGGAAGAUACUACUAUAAAAGAUAUAGAAACGUCUAGUGAGGAUGAUAUAAUAAUAACAACAACAAAUAUACCAUCUACAAAAUACGAAACGAUCGAAGCGUUGGAAUUAGAAAAAAC
Vanessa tameamea is the source of this 325-nucleotide long non-coding RNA. RefSeq lists it as uncharacterized. The record is from RefSeq and is a predicted model, not a curated record. NCBI's taxonomy places the organism in Eukaryota, Metazoa, Arthropoda, Insecta, Lepidoptera, Nymphalidae. The transcript has 3 exons.